RNAcentral lists this ribosomal RNA (715 nucleotides) under Pseudoxanthomonas dokdonensis. Its description in RNAcentral is "bacterial SSU rRNA". It matches the Rfam family "Bacterial small subunit ribosomal RNA", at positions 41 to 744 of the family's 1533-position model. The record is from RNAcentral. Lineage: Bacteria; Pseudomonadati; Pseudomonadota; Gammaproteobacteria; Lysobacterales; Lysobacteraceae.
AGUACGCUGCUACCCAUGCAGUCGAACGGCAGCACAGGAGAGCUUGCUCUCUGGGUGGCGAGUGGCGGACGGUGAGGAAUACAUCGGAAUCUACCUUUUCGUGGGGGAUAACGUAGGGAAACUUACGCUAAUACCGCAUACGACCUACGGGUGAAAGUGGGGGACCUUCGGGCCUCACGCGGAUAGAUGAGCCGAUGUCGGAUUAGCUAGUUGGAGGGGUAAUGGCCCACCAAGGCGACGAUCCGUAUCUGGUCUGAAAGGAUGAUCAGCCACACUGGAACUGAGACACGGUCCAGACUCCUACGGGAGGCAGCAGUGGGGAAUAUUGGACAAUGGGCGCGAGCCUGAUCCAGCCAUACCGCGUGGGUGAAGAAGGCCUUCGGGUUGUAAAGCCCUUUUGUUGGGAAAGAAAAGCAGUCGAUUAAUACUCGAUUGGGAUGACGGUACCCAAAGAAUAAGCACCGGCUAACUUCGUGCCAGCAGCCGCGGUAAUACGAAGGGUGCAAGCGUUACUCGGAAUUACUGUGCGUAAAGCGUGCGUAGGUGGUUGUUUAAGUCUGCUGUGAAAGCCCUGGGCUCAGCCUGGGAAUUGCAGUGCAUACUGAGCGACUAGAGUGUGGUAGCAGGAUAGUGAAGUUUCCUGUGUAGCGUUGAAAUGCGUAGAGAUCAGAUGGAACAUCUGUGCCGAAGGCGACUAUCCUGUUCCGACACUGAC